Molecule: non-coding RNA, 1470 nt
Organism: Oryzias latipes (Japanese medaka)
Lineage: Eukaryota; Metazoa; Chordata; Actinopteri; Beloniformes; Adrianichthyidae
Source: RefSeq, a predicted model, not a curated record
AAUCCAUGGACACCAGUGAAGAUCCUUGAAGAAAAAAGGUUCAGAGCUCUGUCUAGUGGGUCUAGAUGACCCACCAGUGCCUAGGAUAGCACAAGGGGUAAACAUGUUUAACAUGCCUCCCACUGAACUGUUUUUUUUUUCAUUUCCACAUGUAUAAAACAUACUAAAGGUUCUGUUUGCAAACAUGUUUAUUUCUGCCACAGAGGAAAGUUUGUGUUUUGGUUCUGAGUUUUCAGUCUUAAAGAAAAACAACCAGGUUCCCAAAAACUUGACCUUUAACCUUUAACAAAAAACCACUACAAACACACAAACGUAGCUUUUAAUGUCCUUUAUUAUUCAAACAUUUGUCAGACGUCUACAUCGAUGGAGGAACUAUUGUCCAAUAAGAUCAUACAGGUGAAGAAGUGGGCGGAGUCUCUAAUUGCUGACCACCUGUUCGCUCUUUAAAGGAGGAGAGACCUCACCGUUGCCAUGGUGGGGGUUUUCAUGGCACAGACGAGUAACAUCAAGAAAGUCCUCCCCGUGGAUUUAUGGCUCAUUGCCCACCGUGGGAAUUGAACUCAGACUCUCCUGUGGGACAGAAAAGGGAUGUUAUUCCACCAGGAGAACAUCUAAAGCACCAAAGUUUAGUGAUCAAUUCCUACUUAUGUUCUCUGGACUUCCAGCCGCUGCUCUUAGGAGCAGCAGGGAUAGGCUCCAGCCACCCCGUGACCCCGAAAGGGACAAACGUGGUUUGGAAGAAGAAUGAAUGAAGGUUCAAGAUGGAUCUUUGAAGAACACUUCAGGUUUUCAGUUGGUUCAGACGACUGCUCUGUAAUUCUUAAUGUACUUAUGUAAUCAUAAUAAUAAACCCCCCGGUGUUCUUUAGGCAUCAUGCGUGUCGUUCUGCUGCAGCAGUGCAGACCCACGGUUGCAGAACCCUUUAGAUCCGCCUUCAUGCUUCCACUAGAUCUAGAAAAAAGGGUUGAACAAAAUAAUAAACAUGGAUGUCAAGAGAGCUUCAAGAGCAGCAAAAAGGAAAUUCACAUCAACCGGUAUUUAGUCAAACCUGGAGUCUGUGCGGUUCCUCACUCUUCCUCAACGACCUGGAACACGUCCCCCCCCCCCCCCCCUCCUGAUGGGAAUACUAAUGGAUCCAUCUGAGCUUUUCCAGACGCUUCCAUUGGGUCCGUCAUUCAUUCACUCUUCAUUCAUACCUGCUGAUGGUGGGGGCGUGGCUGCCAGGUCACGCCUAUGGUCCCUCUGACCGUCACCGGGAUCAUCCAUGCUGGUAGCGCUAAGGGCCCAGGGGCCCCCACUACAACAUAUACGGCUCUUUUUAGGGAGCCGAGUCUUUUGGAUCAGUUCAUCCAGAAAGUGCAAUAACAGUUAUACAUCCAUAGUUCCAUGUAUGUAUAUGACUUUAUUUUGUCAGAGCAGCUGGAGAGCUUUCUGUUGUAACAAUGACAAUAAAGGAUUUCUGAUUCAAAA